RNAcentral lists this long non-coding RNA (777 nucleotides) under Homo sapiens (human). RNAcentral's name for it is "HSALNT0401619". The record is from RNAcentral. Lineage: Eukaryota; Metazoa; Chordata; Mammalia; Primates; Hominidae.
GGCUCAGGGUCAGCUCAUUUGAAAAGCGGCUGCCUUUUCUUCUUUUCUCUUCUCUUCUCUUUUUUUUUCUCUCUCUCUUUCAUUCACAUUAUAGCUUGAGUCAGAACUUCAUUCCUUUUUAAGGCUGAAGGACCACAUUUUGCUUGUUUGUUCAUGUGAUCGAUGAUGAUGGACACUUAGGUUGUUUCCACUUUUUAGCUAUCGUAAACACUGUUGCUAAUGGAAUAUGGGUGUACAAAUAUUUCUUCAAGAUCUUGCUUUCAAUUCUUUUGGGUAUAUACCCAGAAGUGGAACUGCUGCAUCAUAUGGUAAUUUCUGUGUUUAAUUUGUUGAAGAACUGCCAUACUGUUUUCCAGGUUGGCUGUUCCAUUUUUAAAUUUUAUUUAUUUAUUUAUUGUUUAUUUGUUUAUUUUUUUGAGACGGAGUUUUGCUCUUGUUGUCCAGGCUGGAGUGCAGUGGCGUGAUCUUGGCUUAUUGCAACCUCCGCCUCCCAGGUUCAAGCCAUUCUCCUGCCUCAGGUACCCAAGUAGCUGGGAUUACAGGUGUGCGCCACCAUGCCCAGCUAAUUUUUGUAUUCUAGUAGAGACAAGGUUUCACCAUGUUGGCCAGGCUGAUCUUGAACUCUUGACCUCAAGUGAUCCACCUGCCUCAGCCUCCCAAAGUGCUAGGAUUAUAGGCGUGAGCCUCCACGUCCGGCCUGGCUGUUCCAUUUUAUAUUCCAACAGUGCACAAGGGUUCCAAUUUCUCUACAUCAUCACCAACACUUAUUAUUAUUAU